RNAcentral lists this ribosomal RNA (403 nucleotides) under Verrucomicrobiota bacterium. RNAcentral describes it as "Verrucomicrobia bacterium partial 16S ribosomal RNA". It matches the Rfam family "Bacterial small subunit ribosomal RNA", at positions 355 to 776 of the family's 1533-position model. Lineage: Bacteria; Pseudomonadati; Verrucomicrobiota. The record is from RNAcentral.
UGGGGAAUAUUGCACAAUGGAGGGAACUCUGAUGCAGCGACGCCGCGUGAACGAAGAAGGCUUUCGAGUCGUAAAGUUCUUUUAUAUGGGAAGAUAAUGACGGUACCAUAAGAAAAAGCCCCGGCUAACUACGUGCCAGCAGCCGCGGUAAUACGUAAGGUCCGAGCGUUGUCCGGAAUCAUUGGGCGUAAAGGGUACGUAGGCGGAUAAGCAAGUUAGAAGUGAAAUCCUAUAGCUCAACUAUAGUAAGCUUUUAAAACUGCUCAUCUUGAGGUAUGGAAGGGAAAGUGGAAUUCCUAGUGUAGCGGUGAAAUGCGCAGAUAUUAGGAGGAAUACCGGUGGCGAAGGCGACUUUCUGGCCAUAUACUGACGCUGAGGUACGAAAGCGUGGGUAGCAAACAGG